This 419-nucleotide ribosomal RNA is filed under the name bacterium enrichment culture clone ALO1_GLFRUDD03GBQ1J. Its description in RNAcentral is "bacterial SSU rRNA". It matches the Rfam family "Bacterial small subunit ribosomal RNA", at positions 9 to 429 of the family's 1533-position model. The record is from RNAcentral.
GAGUUUGAUCGUGGCUCAGAUUGAACGCUGGCGGCAUGCCUUACACAUGCAAGUCGAACGGCAGCACGGGAGCUUGCUCCUGGUGGCGAGUGGCGAACGGGUGAGUAAUGCAUCGGAACGUAUCCUGGAGUGGGGGAUAACGUAGCGAAAGUUACGCUAAUACCGCAUAUUCUGUGAGCAGGAAAGCGGGGGACCUUCGGGCCUCGCGCUCUUGGAGCGGCCGAUGUCGGAUUAGCUAGUUGGUGAGGUAAAGGCUCACCAAGGCGACGAUCCGUAGCAGGUCUGAGAGGAUGAUCUGCCACACUGGAACUGAGACACGGUCCAGACUCCUACGGGAGGCAGCAGUGGGGAAUUUUGGACAAUGGGGGCAACCCUGAUCCAGCCAUGCCGCGUGAGUGAAGAAGGCCUCGGUUCGUUAA